RNAcentral lists this ribosomal RNA (482 nucleotides) under uncultured bacterium. RNAcentral's name for it is "partial 16S ribosomal RNA". It matches the Rfam family "Bacterial small subunit ribosomal RNA", at positions 28 to 523 of the family's 1533-position model. The record is from RNAcentral.
GACGAACGCUGGCGGCGUGCUUAACACAUGCAAGUCGAACGAUGAAGCCCAGCUUGCUGGGUGGAUUAGUGGCGAACGGGUGAGUAACACGUGGGCAACCUGCCCCAAACUCUGGGAUAACUCCUCGAAAGAGGUGCUAAUACCGGAUACGAACUAGACAGACAUCUGUACUAGUUGGAAAGUUUUUCGGUUUGGGAUGGGCCCGCGGCCUAUCAGCUUGUUGGUGAGGUAACGGCUCACCAAGGCUACGACGGGUAACCGGCCUGAGAGGGCGACCGGUCACACUGGGACGGAGACACGGCCCAGACUCCUACGGGAGGCAGCAGUGGGGAAUAUUGCGCAAGGGGCGAAAGCCUGACGCAGCGACGCCGCGUGAGGGAUGAAGGUCCUCGGAUCGUAAACCUCUUUCAGUAGGGACGAAGCGAAAGUGACGGUACCUAAAGAAGAAGCACCGGCUAACUACGUGCCAGCCGCCGCCGUAA